GCGCUAUUUGUCUAAUGGUUAUGAUUCAUCCCUCCCACGGAUGAGGUCCGGGUUCGAUUCCCGGACAGCGCA
This is a transfer RNA of Albugo candida, 72 nucleotides long. It matches the Rfam family "tRNA". Rfam says of the family: Transfer RNA (tRNA) molecules are approximately 80 nucleotides in length. Their secondary structure includes four short double-helical elements and three loops (D, anti-codon, and T loops). Further hydrogen bonds mediate the characteristic L-shaped molecular structure. tRNAs have two regions of fundamental functional importance: the anti-codon, which is responsible for specific mRNA codon recognition, and the 3' end, to which the tRNAs corresponding amino acid is attached (by aminoacyl-tRNA synthetases). tRNAs cope with the degeneracy of the genetic code in two manners: having more than one tRNA (with a specific anti-codon) for a particular amino acid; and 'wobble' base-pairing, i.e. permitting non-standard base-pairing at the 3rd anti-codon position. NCBI's taxonomy places the organism in Eukaryota, Oomycota, Peronosporomycetes, Albuginales, Albuginaceae. The record is from Rfam.